RNAcentral lists this ribosomal RNA (425 nucleotides) under uncultured bacterium. RNAcentral's name for it is "bacterial SSU rRNA". It matches the Rfam family "Bacterial small subunit ribosomal RNA", at positions 358 to 773 of the family's 1533-position model. The record is from RNAcentral.
GGAAUAUUGCGCAAUGGGCGAAAGCCUGACGCAGCAACGCCGCGUGGAGGACGAAGGCCUUCGGGUCGUAAACUCCUGUCAGGUGGGACGAAGGGGGCGGAGAUUAAGAGUCAGCGUCUCUUGACGGUACCACCAGAGGAGGCCCCGCCAAACUCCGUCCCAGCAGCCGCGGUAAUACGGAGGGGGCGAGCGUUAUUCGGAAUUAUUGGGCGUAAAGGGCGUGUAGGCGGCCUUCUAAGUCAAAGGUGAAAUCCCUCGGCUCAACCGAGGAACUGCCUUUGAUACUGGCGGGCUCGAGGCCGGGAGAGGGUAGCGGAAUUCCCAGUGUAGCGGUGAAAUGCGUAGAUAUUGGGAGGAACACCAGUGGCGAAGGCGGCUACCUGGACCGGUUCUGACGCUGAGGCGCGAAAGCGUGGGGAGCAAAC